GUAUACUAUUGGACAUUCAAAAAUCUUAAUUUUCCAGCCAAGGGGAGACAUUGCAAAUGUUGCCUCAUGUUGGGUCUCUACUGAUGCUGUGUUUUCCUUCCCAUGUUCACAUUGGAUAGCUCUGGAUGGAGCCCACCACGUCCACCACAUGGAGCCCUUGACAGUCUUCAGUCUCUGCUGUUCUGGUAAAGAAAGGCCCGUUAGUCCUGCGUUUAACGCCUGCAGGUGUGCCAGGUGUAGAGGCGAUGGAAGAAGCAGGCGCCCGCCGGGUAGGCUGCCCUCGCAACGUGGGCACGAGGGCUCCUCCAGCAACACCACGCGAGCGAAUCACGGUCCUUCUCUGCAUCAGACUGAUUUUUUGCACUGA
RNAcentral lists this long non-coding RNA (367 nucleotides) under Struthio camelus australis. RNAcentral describes it as "lncRNA (ENSSCUG00000002703.1)". The record is from RNAcentral. Lineage: Eukaryota; Metazoa; Chordata; Aves; Struthioniformes; Struthionidae.